This 859-nucleotide ribosomal RNA is filed under the name uncultured fungus. RNAcentral describes it as "SSU rRNA". It matches the Rfam family "Eukaryotic small subunit ribosomal RNA", at positions 612 to 1507 of the family's 1831-position model. Lineage: Eukaryota; Fungi. The record is from RNAcentral.
GUUGUGGUUAAAAGCUCGUAGUUGAACCUUGGGCCUGGCUGGCCGGUCCGCCUCACCGCGUGUACUGGUCCGGCCGGGCCUUUCCCUCUGUGGAACCCCAUGCCCUUCACUGGGUGUGGCGGGGAAACAGGACUUUUACUUUGAAAAAAUUAGAGUGCUCCAGGCAGGCCUAUGCUCGAAUACAUUAGCAUGGAAUAAUAGAAUAGGACGUGUGGUUCUAUUUUGUUGGUUUCUAGGACCGCCGUAAUGAUUAAUAGGGACAGUCGGGGGCAUCAGUAUUCAAUUGUCAGAGGUGAAAUUCUUGGAUUUAUUGAAGACUAACUACUGCGAAAGCAUUUGCCAAGGAUGUUUUCAUUAAUCAGGAACGAAAGUUAGGGGAUCGAAGACGAUCAGAUACCGUCGUAGUCUUAACCAUAAACUAUGCCGACUAGGGAUCGGACGAUGUUAUUUUUUGACUCGUUCGGCACCUUACGAGAAAUCAAAGUGCUUGGGCUCCAGGGGGAGUAUGGUCGCAAGGCUGAAACUUAAAGAAAUUGACGGAAGGGCACCACCAGGGGUGGAGCCUGCGGCUUAAUUUGACUCAACACGGGGAAACUCACCAGGUCCAGACACAAUGAGGAUUGACAGAUUGAGAGCUCUUUCUUGAUUUUGUGGGUGGUGGUGCAUGGCCGUUCUUAGUUGGUGGAGUGAUUUGUCUGCUUAAUUGCGAUAACGAACGAGACCUUAACCUGCUAACUAGCCCGUAUUGCUUUGGCAGUACGCUGGCUUCUUAGAGGGACUAUCGGCUCAGCCGAUGGAGUUUGAGCAUAACAGUCUGUGAUGCCCUUAGAUGUCUGGGCCGCACGCGCGCUACACUGAC